This 542-nucleotide ribosomal RNA is filed under the name uncultured archaeon. RNAcentral's name for it is "bacterial SSU rRNA". It matches the Rfam family "Archaeal small subunit ribosomal RNA", at positions 333 to 879 of the family's 1478-position model. The record is from RNAcentral.
CACCAGGCGCGAAAACUUUGCAAUGCGGGAAACCGUGACAGGGGAACUCCGAGUGCCCGUUAAAUCGGGCUGUCCACCAGUUUAAAUAACUGGUGAAGAAAGGGCCGGGCAAGACCGGUGCCAGCCGCCGCGGUAAUACCGGCGGCUCGAGUGGUGGCCACUAUUACUGGGCUUAAAGCGUUCGUAGCUGGUUUGUUAAGUCUCUGGGGAAAUCUUCCGGCUUAACCGGAAGGCGUCUCAGGGAUACUGGCAGACUAGGGACCGGGAGAGGUGAGGGGUACUCCAGGGGUAGGAGUGAAAUCCUGUAAUCCUUGGGGGACCACCUGUGGCGAAGGCGCCUCACCAGAACGGCUCCGACAGUGAGGGACGAAAGCUGGGGGAGCAAACCGGAUUAGAUACCCGGGUAGUCCCAGCUGUAAACGAUGCGCGUUAGGUGUAUCGGUGACCACGAGUCACCGAGGUGCCGAAGAGAAAUCGUGAAACGUGCCGCCUGGGAAGUACGGUCGCAAGGCUGAAACUUAAAGGAAUUGGCGGGGGAGCAC